RNAcentral lists this ribosomal RNA (492 nucleotides) under uncultured bacterium. RNAcentral describes it as "partial 16S ribosomal RNA". It matches the Rfam family "Bacterial small subunit ribosomal RNA", at positions 29 to 507 of the family's 1533-position model. The record is from RNAcentral.
AGUGAACGCUGGCGGUAGGCCUAACACAUGCAAGUCGAACGGCAGCACAGUAAGAGCUUGCUCUUACGGGUGGCGAGUGGCGGACGGGUGAGGAAUACAUCGGAAUCUACUUUUUCGUGGGGGAUAACGUAGGUAAACUUACGCUAAUACCGCAUACGACCUACGGGUGAAAGCAGUGGAUCGUCGGACCUUGCGCGAUUGAAUGAGCCGAUGUCGGAUUAGCUAGUUGGCGGGGUAAAGGCCCACCAAGGCGACGAUCCGUAGCCGGUCUGAGAGGCUGAUCAGCCGCACUGGAGCUGAGACACGGUCCAGACUCCUACGGGAGGCAGCAGUGGGGAAUAUUGGACAAUGGGCGCAAGCCUGAUCCAGCCAUACCGCGUGGGUGAAGAAGGCCUUCGGGUUGUAAAGACCUUUUGUUGGGAAAGAAAAGCAGCAGGUUAAUACCCCGCUGUUCUGACGGUACCCAAAGAAUAAGCACCGGCUAACUUCGUG